GGAAUGCCACCCGGUGAACUCCAUCACACCAGCAAAACCAAGGACAAGGCAGAAAAACUGUGAUGGUCUCCUGGAAUCGGUUCCUGAACGGCAAAUCGGUCUUUAAAUGAGUUUCAAAUACUGACCCACGAAAAGCAGUGAAUUGCAGAUAUAAUAUUCUGCUUUCAAGCAGGGAAUUCAACUCCUUCCAUGAAGGAGAAUAAAACAUUGCUGUGGCUAUCAAGGUGACACGAUCCUGAAACUUGUUGCUUCAAUCCACGAUGUGUAGACUUAAUCACAACUGCAAACUCUUCAUACUGGUGAUCCACUCCAUUAUUGACACCUCCUGCCAACAACAGUGGCCUGCCCAUAAAAGCCCUGCAGACAGGGAAGACAGGGUCUGACCCCUUGGGCAAUGCUGCAGAAUACCUUGCCAUUAAGUCCCAUUUAUUGUGUCUUUGCUUGUCGGUGCUGGCAGCAUUACUGCCCUUACCAGGAUCAUUCGGAG
Long non-coding RNA from Pezoporus flaviventris, 487 nucleotides. RefSeq lists it as uncharacterized. The transcript has 3 exons. NCBI's taxonomy places the organism in Eukaryota, Metazoa, Chordata, Aves, Psittaciformes, Psittacidae. The record is from RefSeq and is a predicted model, not a curated record.